This 363-nucleotide unclassified non-coding RNA is filed under the name uncultured Gyoerffyella. RNAcentral's name for it is "sequence contains ITS2". The stretch from base 1 to 154 matches the Rfam family "5.8S ribosomal RNA". Lineage: Eukaryota; Fungi; Ascomycota. The record is from RNAcentral.
AACUUUCGACAACGGAUCACUUGGUUCUGGCAUCUAUGAAGAACGCAGCGAAAUGCGAUAAGUAAUGUGAAUUGCAGAAUUCAGUGAAUCAUCGAAUCUUUGAACGCACAUUGCGCCCCGUGGUAUUCCGCGGGGCAUGCCUGUUCGAGCGUCAUUUCAACCCAUCAAGCUUCUGCUUGGUCUUGGGGCUUGCGGUUUCGCAGCCUCUAAACUCAGUGGCGGUGCUAUUGAGCUCUGAGCGUAGUAACUUUUCUCGCUAUAGGGUCUCGGUGGUUACUUGCCAGCAACCCCCAAUUUUAUCAGGUUGACCUCGGAUCAGGUAGGGAUACCCGCUGAACUUAAGCAUAUCAAUAAGCGGAGGCU